UUCCUACGGGGGGCAGCAGUGAGGAAUAUUGGUCAAUGGCCGGAAGGCUGAACCAGCCAAGCCGCGUGAAGGACGAAGGUGCCAAGCAUUGUAAACUUCCUUGGCCCAGGGACACCCUUCGGCUCGAGAGCCUGACCGAGGGUACUUGAAGAAAAAGCAUCGGCUAACUCCGUGCCAGCAGCCGCGGUAAUACGGAGGAUGCGAGCGUUAUCUCGAUUUAUUGGGUUUAAAGGGUGCGUACUGCGACUGUUAAGUCAGCGGUAAAAGCCCGGGGCUCAACACCGGCGAGCGCUUGCAACUGGCUG
This 305-nucleotide ribosomal RNA is filed under the name uncultured bacterium. RNAcentral's name for it is "bacterial SSU rRNA". It matches the Rfam family "Bacterial small subunit ribosomal RNA", at positions 336 to 639 of the family's 1533-position model. The record is from RNAcentral.